AAAAAGGGCUUCUGCUGUGUUUAGCACAGGAGGGGUGGGGCUAACCACUCCUUCUGCAGAAUCGCCAUCAAGAGAUUUCGGAAGCACAAUUUUUAAACUAGGGGUAGCUAGUGAUCAUUCGUCCUGGCGCCCCG
Centropristis striata (black sea bass) is the source of this 134-nucleotide small nuclear RNA. RefSeq annotates it as U11 spliceosomal RNA. NCBI's taxonomy places the organism in Eukaryota, Metazoa, Chordata, Actinopteri, Perciformes, Serranidae. The record is from RefSeq and is a predicted model, not a curated record. The transcript has a single exon.